RNAcentral lists this ribosomal RNA (253 nucleotides) under uncultured prokaryote. RNAcentral's name for it is "partial 16S ribosomal RNA". It matches the Rfam family "Bacterial small subunit ribosomal RNA", at positions 524 to 776 of the family's 1533-position model. The record is from RNAcentral.
GACAGAGGGUGCAAACGUUGUUCGGAUUUACUGGGCGUAAAGCGUGUGUAGGCGGCUUUGUAUGUCGGAUGUGAAAGCCCACGGCUCAACCGUGGAAGUGCAUCCGAAACUGCAUGGCUCGAGUCCCGGAGAGGAAGGUGGAAUGCUUGGUGUAGAGGUGAAAUUCGUAGAUAUCAAGCAGAACACCUGCGGCGAAGGCGGCCUUCUGGACGGUGACUGACGCUGAGACACGAAAGCGUGGGGAGCAAACAGG